CUUCGCGUAGCUUAGUGGUAAAGCGAUCGCCCUGUAAGCGAGAGGUCCUAAGUUCGAUCCUCAGCGUGGAUG
This is a non-coding RNA of Cymbomonas tetramitiformis, 72 nucleotides long. The record is from the annotation of a GenBank genome assembly. NCBI's taxonomy places the organism in Eukaryota, Viridiplantae, Chlorophyta, Pyramimonadophyceae, Pyramimonadales, Pyramimonadaceae.